Molecule: ribosomal RNA, 510 nt
Filed under: Dacus hamatus
Lineage: Eukaryota; Metazoa; Arthropoda; Insecta; Diptera; Tephritidae
Description: partial 16S ribosomal RNA
Rfam family: Bacterial large subunit ribosomal RNA
Source: RNAcentral
GUCUUUUUGAGUUAUUUUUAAAGUCUGACCUGCCCACUGAAUUUUAAAUGGCCGCAGUAUUCUAACUGUGCAAAGGUAGCAUAAUCAUUAGUCUUUUAAUUGAAGGCUGGUAUGAACGGUUGGACGAGGUAUAAGCUGUUUCAUAUAAAUUUAUAGUAGAAUUUUAUAUUUUAGUUAAAAAGCUAAAAUUUAAUUAAAAGACGAGAAGACCCUAUAAAUCUUUAUAUUUUUUAUAUUUUAAAUUUUUUUGAUUUAGUUUGUUUUUAUUAUAUAAAAUAUUUUGUUGGGGUGAUAUUAAAAUUUAAUAAACUUUUAAUUUUAAAGAAUCAUUAAUUUAUGAUUUAUUGAUCCAUUAGUAGUGAUUAUAAGAUUAAGUUACUUUAGGGAUAACAGCGUAAUUUUUUUGGAGAGUUCAUAUCGAUAAAAAAGUUUGCGACCUCGAUGUUGGAUUAAGAUAUAAUUUUAGGUGUAGCCGCUUAAAUGUUAAGUCUGUUCGACUUUUAAAUUCUU